CUGCAGCCAAUUAAGCCGACUGAGUUCCUUUCCUCAUGGAGGCCCAGUGUGCAAUGGCUGCAAACAGCAGCUUCCAUGGUAGUGAUGCAGCCUGUUUGUUGUAUGGGUUGCUCUAAGGGACCUUGGAGACAGAC
Molecule: small nucleolar RNA, 134 nt
Filed under: Piliocolobus tephrosceles (Ugandan red Colobus)
Lineage: Eukaryota; Metazoa; Chordata; Mammalia; Primates; Cercopithecidae
Description: Small nucleolar RNA SNORA70 (ENSPTEG00000008326.1)
Rfam family: Small nucleolar RNA SNORA70
About the family: snoRNA U70 seems to be exclusive to mammals and is a member of the H/ACA class of snoRNA which contain H (ANANNA) and ACA box motifs. H/ACA box snoRNAs are involved in the conversion of uridines to pseudouridines (5-ribosyluracil) a constituent of structural RNAs (transfer, ribosomal, small nuclear, and small nucleolar).
Source: Rfam by way of RNAcentral